This is a long non-coding RNA of Cephus cinctus (wheat stem sawfly), 1932 nucleotides long. RefSeq lists it as uncharacterized. The record is from RefSeq and is a predicted model, not a curated record. Lineage: Eukaryota; Metazoa; Arthropoda; Insecta; Hymenoptera; Cephidae. The transcript has 2 exons.
AAGUUACGGCCUUCAGUACAAUUUAGAAUGCAUUGGUGCAAUGUAGUGCUAGUGCUGUCGCUGCUGAAUGCAGUUUACGCCACGGCCUGGUCCUUUCGUGAGCUAAUAAAUACAUUAGCAAAUCUCGUCUCGGAUAAAAACAAUACAGAACAAUUGAAGCUGUACGAAACUGAUGAUAAUACAGCAGUAUCGAGUGGUUCAAUAUUAAAAAUACCUCCCCGAAGAAAAUCAAUUAUGUGUAAACCUGGACAGCAACUAGACGCUCGAGGAAGGUGCAGGGUUGUUUGGUGAAUCCGAGAAAAAGACAUCAAACGUAGACAACGGAUCGAUCUUAAUUAUCGGAACGCCUAAUAAUAUCCUCCCCCACUCGUCGACAAUUAACGUACUUCAUUGACAGCUACGACUUUCGUCAGGUGAUAAAUUUAGUCGCAAGGAUAUAUAUAUAUACUGCAUCGACGAUAAUGGAGAUGUUAAUAAAAAUUUAAUUUUCAUUAUAAUAUAAGCAACUAAUUGUAUACAUAUAUAUAAUUAUAAUACGUACAGUAGGCUUCUAACAUAUAAAGCGUGCUAUCGAUAUAUCUCCACGCUUUGACUUCUCUCAAGGGACUGUCUCUCAACUCUUUUCUUUUUAUUCCUUUUCUCGUUGUUUGUAUUCAAUCUAGAAGUCAAUAUAAUAACGCGAAUACGAUUUGAUCGUGCGUAAACCGUAGAAGAAGAGAGUGAGAGAGAGAGAGAGAGAGAGAGAGAGAGAGAGAGAGAGCAGUGUUCUAUCGAUCUUCUCCACGGCGACACACUCUUCUCCGGUACGCGUGUCUCUAUAGGCGUAUAUACUUAUUUAGUCGCGGCAGGUUCUCUCCAAGGGAAACAUUUAAAGAGACUUGGACACGUUUGCCCAUUUUUAUACGUUCCCGCUAAGGGAGAAGGUAAAAAAUAAGAGAAAAGCGUAGACCCUUCCAUCCGGGAAUACUUCGUAUCGUCAUACAAAAAAGUGUAUGCAGUAAAGUUGUAAAUUUCUGUAUACGUAUCUCAUUGUGUAGUCGGAAACUUUGAUCCCUGAUUCUGUGAGAAAACUGCGAAUUAUUAGAACCGAGCAAAUUGGAUAACGCUGUAUCAAUAGCCAUAGGUCAAACUAUUUGAAAUACGCUGCGGCUGUUUAAUUAGUACCGGAAGUCGAACCACUAGUUACUUAGUCACUUGCGGCUACUGUGAUCUACUUACUGUGUCAUCUAUUCAGCUUUCAAGCUAUUAUUGAUGCUCAGUUACGUUCUGAGCAUCGGGGAGAAUUUUGCAGGCGUUUAAGAAUAUUUAGCCACAGUUUAUAACGGCAUGACGCCUUUACGUAUUUUGACAACUGUUCUCACACUUCUUGCCAUUUUCUCCGUGGCAUUGGUGGAGCCAUUAACGAUCCCGGAAUGCAAUGGAAAACCGUACGGUUACUUGAGGUGCCCUGAUGGUUAUAGGAGAAUUCGAAAUGGUCGUUGCAGGAAGAUCCUGAGCGUGUAGCAUUUUUAUAAGGUAACGAGUAGGACGGUAAAGCAGAGCUGAGUAUUUCCGUAACGGUUUCAGUCACUGAAUUAAUUUGCGUGGAAAAUCACUUUUUAAUUUCCUUGGACAAACUGAGCGCGGCGAUACUCAUCUCUUUCUCUGUAUAAAUAAUAGAAACUCGUAUUUGAAACAUGAUAACCGAUCUUCCAGCCGGAAGUUCUCAUAGUCAUCUUCAUUUCUAGAAUCGAGCGUUGACCUACGAACACGAUAUUGGGUCAAGUAGUGUAAUGCGGACGCGCACUAUGCUCACAUCAGGAUCACCUGCGUAGAGGGUGUACCAAUUGAACUUUUUUUUUUAAUUAUCUUGCCUGCUUUGUAAAGUCGACCGUUUGAUGUCGGACCGGUAAUUAAUUGCAAGAAUAAAGGAAAAAUAUUCGAGCAAACUAA